UCCAGUGACGAUAGCGAAGAGGUCACACCCGUUCCCAUGCCGAACACGGAAGUUAAGCUCUUCAGCGCCGAUGGUAGUUGGGGGCUCUCCCCCUGUGAGAGUAGGACGUCGCUGGGC
Molecule: ribosomal RNA, 117 nt
Filed under: Alteribacter keqinensis
Lineage: Bacteria; Bacillati; Bacillota; Bacilli; Caryophanales; Bacillaceae
Also listed under: 1 other name
Source: RNAcentral